GAUACUAAGUCCCUGGCCACUUGGAUGGGGCGUCGGACUGGCCCUUCCCACGGCCAGCUGAAGCCAGUGUUCUUACCCCCCCCCCCGCAGAGCGCAGCAGUUCGGAGCGGCAGCCGAGCGGCCUGUCCUUCGAGUAUCCGCGGGACCCGGAGCAUCGCAGUUAUAGCGACCGCGGAGAGCCAGGCGCUGAGGAGCGGGCCCGUGGUGACGGCCACACGGACUUCGUGGCGCUGCUGACAGGGCCGAGGUCGCAGGCGGUGGCACGAGCCCGAGUCUCGCUGCUGCGCUCUAGCCUCCGCUUCUCCAUCUCCUACAGGCGGCUGGACCGCCCUACCAGGGUCCGCUUCUCAGACUCCAAUGGCAGUGUCCUGUUUGAGCACCCUGCAGCCCCCACCCAAGAUGGCCUGGUGAGAUGAUGCCAUUUAUGAGCACUUGUCCAGUCUGGGCACUGUGCUGAGAGCAUGCUCUGCAUUGCCUCCUGUGGUCCUCACCACAGCCCAGUGGGAGGAAGGCACUGACAUUAUGAUGCCCAUUUUACAGAAGGGGGAACUGAGGCUCAG
This 560-nucleotide small RNA is filed under the name Pongo abelii (Sumatran orangutan). Its description in RNAcentral is "retained intron". Lineage: Eukaryota; Metazoa; Chordata; Mammalia; Primates; Hominidae. The record is from RNAcentral.